AGCAGCCGCGGUAAUUCCAGCUCCAAUAGCGUAUAUUAAAGUUGUUGCAGUUAAAAAGCUCGUAGUUGAAUUUCGGAAUCUGUCCGUUGGUCGGGCUUAAUUGUCCGUACUGAUGUGAUGGGUUCUUACCUUCUGAAUAACCAGCAUGUCAUUAAUUUGGUGUGUUGGGGAAGCAGGACUAUUACCUUGAAAAAUUAGAGUGCUCAAAGCAGGCUAGCGCCUGAAUACAUUAGCAUGGAAUAAUAAAAUAGGACGGCAUGGUUCUAUUUUGUUGGUUUCUAGGAUCACCGUAAUGAUUAAUAGGGAUAGUUGGGGGCAUUAGUAUUCAAUUGUCAGAGGUGAAAUUCUUGGAUUUAUUGAAGACUAACUUCUGCGAAAGCAUUUGCCAAGGAUGUUUU
RNAcentral lists this ribosomal RNA (398 nucleotides) under uncultured Acaulospora. RNAcentral's name for it is "SSU rRNA". It matches the Rfam family "Eukaryotic small subunit ribosomal RNA", at positions 569 to 970 of the family's 1831-position model. Lineage: Eukaryota; Fungi; Glomeromycota; Glomeromycetes; Diversisporales; Acaulosporaceae. The record is from RNAcentral.